UUGACCUCGGAUCAGGUAGGGAUACCCGCUGAACUUAAGCAUAUCAAUAAGCGGAGGAAAAGAAACCAACCGGGAUUGCCUCAGUAACGGCGAGUGAAGCGGCAAGAGCUCAAAUUUGAAAGCUGGCCCCUCCGGGGUCCGCAUUGUAAUUUGCAGAGGAUGCUUCGGGCGCAGCC
RNAcentral lists this ribosomal RNA (176 nucleotides) under Aspergillus movilensis. RNAcentral describes it as "partial 28S ribosomal RNA". It matches the Rfam family "Eukaryotic large subunit ribosomal RNA", at positions 1 to 175 of the family's 3401-position model. Lineage: Eukaryota; Fungi; Ascomycota; Eurotiomycetes; Eurotiales; Aspergillaceae. The record is from RNAcentral.